AGAGUUUGAUCCUGGCUCAGGAUGAACGCUAGCGGCAGGCCUAACACAUGCAAGUCGAGGGGCAGCGGGAUUGAAGCUUGCUUCAAUUGCCGGCGACCGGCGCACGGGUGCGUAACGCGUAUGCAACCUACCCAUAACAGGGGGAUAACACUGAGAAAUCGGUACUAAUAUCCCAUAACAUCAUGAGGGGCAUCCCUUAUGGUUGAAAACUCCGGUGGUUAUGGAUGGGCAUGCGUUGUAUUAGCUGGUUGGUGAGGGUAACGGCUCACCAAGGCGACGAUACGAUAGGGGGACUGAGAGGUUAACCCCCCANAUUGGUACUGAGACACGGACCAAACUCCUACGGGAGGCA
Molecule: ribosomal RNA, 352 nt
Filed under: uncultured bacterium
Lineage: Bacteria
Description: bacterial SSU rRNA
Rfam family: Bacterial small subunit ribosomal RNA
Source: RNAcentral